This 492-nucleotide ribosomal RNA is filed under the name uncultured bacterium. RNAcentral's name for it is "partial 16S ribosomal RNA". It matches the Rfam family "Bacterial small subunit ribosomal RNA", at positions 29 to 507 of the family's 1533-position model. The record is from RNAcentral.
AGUGAACGCUGGCGGUAGGCCUAACACAUGCAAGUCGAACGGCAGCACAGUAAGAGCUUGCUCUUACGGGUGGCGAGUGGCGGACGGGUGAGGAAUACAUCGGAAUCUACUUUUUCGUGGGGGAUAACGUAGGGAAACUUACGCUAAUACCGCAUACGACCUACGGUUGAAAGCAGGGGAUCUUCGGACCUUGCGCGAUUGAAUGAGCCGAUGUCGGAUUAGCUAGUUGGCGGGGUAAAGGCCUACCAAGGCGACGAUCCGUAGCUGGUCUGAGAGGAUGAUAAGCCACACUGGAACUGAGACACGGUCCAGACUCCUACGGGAGGCAGCAGUGGGGAAUAUUAGACAAUGGGCGCAAGCCUGAUACAGCCAUACCGCGUGGGUGAAGAAGGCCUUCGGGUUGUAAAGACCUUUUGUUGGGAAAGAAAAGCAGCAGGUUAAUACCCCGCUGUUCUGACGGUACCGAAAGAAUAAGCACCGGCUAACUUCGUG